CCUACGGGAGGCAGCAGUGGGGGAUAUUGCACAAUGGGGGAAACCCUGAUGCAGCGACGCCGCGUGAGUGAAGAAGUAUUUCGGUAUGUAAAGCUCUAUCAGCAGGGAAGAAAAUGACAGUACCUGACCAAGAAGCCCCGGCUAACUCCGUGCCAGAAGCCGCGGUAAUACGUAGGGGGCAAGCUUUAUCCGGAUUUACUGGGUGUAAAGGGAGCGUAGACGGUUAUGUAAGUCUGGAGUGAAAGCCCGGGGCCCAACCCCGGGACUGCUUUGGAAACUGUGUAACUGGAGUACAGUUGAGGGAGGCAGAAUUCGUGGUGUAGCGGUGAAAUGCUUAGAGAUCACGAAGAACACCGAUGGCGAAGGCAGCUUACUAAACGGCCACUGACAUUGAGGCUCGAAAGUGUGGGUAGCAAACAGGAUUAGAUACCCGAGUAGUC
This 440-nucleotide ribosomal RNA is filed under the name uncultured bacterium. RNAcentral describes it as "partial 16S ribosomal RNA". It matches the Rfam family "Bacterial small subunit ribosomal RNA", at positions 338 to 795 of the family's 1533-position model. The record is from RNAcentral.